Molecule: non-coding RNA, 95 nt
Organism: Anaerosphaera sp. HMSC064C01
Lineage: Bacteria; Bacillati; Bacillota; Tissierellia; Tissierellales; Peptoniphilaceae
Source: Rfam
AAUUCAUCCAGAGAGGCGGAGGGACUGGCCCUAUGAAGCCCGGCAACCUGUUUAAACAAGGUGCUAAUUCCAGCGGUUAUACCGAGAGAUGACGA